RNAcentral lists this ribosomal RNA (259 nucleotides) under uncultured bacterium. Its description in RNAcentral is "partial 16S ribosomal RNA". It matches the Rfam family "Bacterial small subunit ribosomal RNA", at positions 524 to 776 of the family's 1533-position model. The record is from RNAcentral.
UACAGAGGGUGCGAGCGUUGUUCGGAAUUAUUGGGCGUAAAGGGCGCGUAGGCGGUUGCGGUAAGUCACCUGUGAAAAUCUCCUGGGCUCAACCUGGGAGCUUGCAGGCGAAACUGCCGGUGCUGGAGUGUGGGAGAGGUGCGUGGAAUUCCUGGUGCAGCGGUGAAAUGCGUAGAUAUCAGGAGGAACACCUGUGGCGAAAGCGGCGCACUGGACCACAACUGACGCUGAGGCGCGAAAAGCUAGGGGAGCAAACAGG